UUAAGCAAAUAGUUCACUUUAGUGUGUGUUGGUUAGUAGGUGUAGUUUACUAGCAGCUAGGCUAGCUUUAGACACUGCCAACACAUCAGUGGCUAUGGCUUUAGGGUUUUUCCUUGGAGUGGCCUUAUUUCUCCUGUCUGUGCGGUCUGUUGUAAAGUGCGCUGCCAUUCCCGAGGGAGUUCUUCACAUGGAGUGUCAUGAGCGUUAUUUCAUGAUAGCUGUUGAUCUUUCCUUCACUGGGGAGGACCCUCGCUUUGAGGCCGUAGCUGGGACAGGUGUGUACCCAAUCAGUGAGCAGUAUGCAGCAACGUGUGGCUACAGUGUCUGCCUUCUCCCUCUGCAAGACCAUGUGGAGCUAAGAGCCUCUUACUUCAGCUGUCACACUGACAACAAAGAUGACAAAAUGUUCAAAUUUAAGUUCAACCUGAUUGCGACACAUGAAGGAGAGGAAGUCACCUAUGCUCUGAGCAAGACCUGUUCUCCCACACUCCCCUGGUCUCCCAGAGAGGUUACCUGUGAGGUUAACUACAUGGAAGUGUCUGUAAGGAGUGAAGUCAGCUGUCCAUCUGGUACAAUGAAAGAUGACUGGAAUGCCCUCAGACCUGCACAUAGCUCAACCACUUCAGACUGGCAGGUGACAUUUCAGAGAGCAGAGGAGCAGUUGCCGCCCAUGAACCUCUCUGAAGCCCGUAAACGGGGUUAUGCAUUUGACUUGAAAGAUGGAAGGCUUGUAUUUCGCACACCAUACGGACAACCUGACUCGCUCAGCACUACGGUGAAUGGCGUUCGAGUAGAGGUUGUCUAUGCAACUCUGUUCUCCAGACAAAGCUGGGUUGUCCUCAUGGUCGACCUGGUGGCUGCUUGCUCCAUGCAUGAAGGAUCAUACGAUGACAGCGGCUAUAUGUUGUGGCAGACUCCAGGGGUGCUGUAUCCCAGUCUUGACAGCACACAGCUCAACAUUGGACUCAAUGGUGAACUUGUGGAGCAGCCAAUUGCAGAGGAGAGAGGCUACAUUGUGGAGAAGCAAAACACCACAGUCCAGAUCAAAAUCCCUUAUAAUGCUGAAGGAGGAUACAGGAAGAGCAUAGUGUCUGGCGAUCUCAACGAGUACUAUGUCUUUCAUCUGUACUUGGAACAAAUCAUGGUGGAUGAGGAAAACGUAGAGACCAGGAUCCGCCUUUACAGGACGCUGGCCACUCCCCUGCUGCCACACCCAAUCUUCACUGAAAACCAAACUCUUAUCAACGAGCGCGCGUUCACGGUCUACCUCGGAGAUCUCCCUGAGGACGUUGAGUUGGCAGCUGUUCAUUUGAAUGGACAUAAAUACACGCUGCCAUUUAAUAAUACAAGCAGCCAAACCAUCACAAAGGUUGUUCAUCCCAACAACACUCAUGGCUACACUCUGAAGGUGCCUUUUGACGACCCUGUCGUUGUACAAAAGUUCUGUAGAAAACACUCACUACUUCAGUAUAAGCUGGACAUCAACUACAUACUGAGCAUUUUGCCUGAAAAUGAGCCUUAUUACCACCUGGAAUCUGUUGAGGCAUUGUUCACAGAUGUGUCUCCUCCGACCUUUCACGCCGUCUGUUCGGAGUCUGGGAUCCGCUUCAAACUGGACCACCGGUCUUUUGACUACAUGUGGGACAUCAGUGUCGGUUCAGACCUGCUGACAUCAGAGCUGGCAGCCCAGCACGGCUACAUCCUGAGCAACAAUAGCCAGAGUCUGCUGCUCGACGUGCCGCUCUUCACUCAUGGCUACGAGUACAAGGAUGUCACUUUGAAGGGAUUCUUUGGCACUUUUGAGAUCCUUGUGCGGGAUCAUGACACAUCGGAGGUCCAGAGCUCCACUGUCAAGACUUGUCCCUUCACUGCUACUGAACUCAUUCUGUGUUCGACUGACGGGAGGAUGACCGUGGUGGCUGACUUGUCUCUGGCCAUCCCAAGUGGAGGAGUUCCUGCUAGAACCAACCUCGUAGACAAAUACUGCAGACCCAAAGAGGCAGACGACACCAAGGCUCUCUUCUCUUUUCCACUCAACGGCUGUGGAUCCACAGUCAAGAUUGACAGGCAAAAUGUGACCUAUCAAAAUGAGAUUUUCUUCAGCAAGAAGUACCUUGAUGUGAACGGAGCAGUAUCUGUCAAUACCACUGAGAGGGUGAUGGUACAGUGCACAUAUUCUCUGGCAAGUCUCCAUCGCCUCUUCUCUCUGUACAAGUUUGAGUCUGACAAAGUUGGUGUCGGCCGCAUUAUCCACACUGCACAGCCCACAGCAGCUCAGAGUCCCACCAUCAAGCCAACAACAGCACUUAAAACCACACUUGCUGCCAAAGGCCCAACUAGAGUACCUGCUGCAUACCUGCCUGCUGCCAACCCACCAGUUCGCUACAUUAGAGUUUCCAGGGUUAAAAGUUUUCUCAGUGGUAUGAGAAAAGGCGGGUCCACCACCCACUAUACACACGCGGUAAUAUUGACCCAGGAAGGUGUUAAACACUAAUUUGGAGACACUGGCUAUAGAUUUGGUAAAUGUGGUAAGUGAGGAUGAAGCUGUUACUGCCCCAAUAUGGCAAAAGGUGAGCCCUUGUGCAGAAGUGUAAAAAACUUGAAAUGUCAGGUUACACUAGGUACAGUACUUGUAAAUAUUACAAUAGUAUUUUCCUACUCUACAUUUGAAAGGGAAUGAUGUGCUUUUUUUCACUACACUAUUUGCUAGCUAUAGUCACUAAUUAACCUGCAAAACUUGAAGUUCUAUGAUUUUAACUACAGUGUAGUAAGUGGUUAAAAUUGACUUGACCUUUACCAGUUGCAACAUUUAAGGUGUCAUUAAUAAAACUUAAAAAACACCUUUACACAUUCUUACUAAAUGAAUUUAAUGUCCUGUAGUGAAGUUUUACACUAUUUCUGUUUUUUUUACUUCAACAUGAGGCCUAAUCAGUUUCAGGAUUAACUUGACAUUAAAGAGAAACUGGGGCAAAUUUGCCCAAGAAGCAUGGAUUAUACUAUGGGGAACUUCUUACUGUACUACAAAAAGUUGAAACUAGGACUAAACUAUGCUGUAAAAGUAUAAAAUGGCAUUUAAUUUUGGAAAAACUCUUUUCCCAAGUGGAAACUCUUAAUUAGUAACCGGUGACACAUGUUGCUCCAUAGUGGAUGAAUGCGGGGGAAUGUAAAAGUACAUUUACGCAAGCAUUUUUCCCCCCCCCACAUCUUUUGCAUGCAAAACAUUUGAAGUGCUUAUGAAAUAUUUUGUAAAUGAAACUACCAUUACAGGAUCUUCCUUCAGCAUGAAUGCAAGACAUAAGGAUGCCAUUUGAGUUGAAAGUUGCAUAAAACAUGACUGACAGACUAAUACUUUAUAAUAUUAUAAAUUGUAUUUUUUUAAAAAGGGGAGAAUCUUAGUUUCAUAAACAGUCAAAUAAACGGGGUCUUCUAAGUCAACCAGCAGGGGGCGCUACUUAAUUAGCUGCUAACACAGACGCAACGACUGUUUCUCUUUUGACUCCAACAUGUGAGCUGAAACUAACUCGGACACCACUUCAGACUCUCUCCAACAACGGUUUCAUAAAUGGUGAACAAUGAACUCCAGUGAAGCGCACUGUGUGCGGGGGUCCAGGCCGCCAACCCUGCCCCCUCUCUCCAGCAGGACCCUGGGACACCCCUCUUUCCUGCCCCUGUACCUGACUGCGGGCUACCCACACCCUCACCCGGACUGCCGCGACGUCCACCCCAUCACCCCGGAGGAGUUCUUCUACUCGGACCCGACCAUGAGCUGUGGGAGGAGGGUCCCCAACUCAGUGAGUGAGCUGAAGGUCUUCGAUUGCUUCCAGCUCAACACUCCCUCACCCGUUAUGUCUGCCUGCCCGGCCCCACCAACCGGUCCAGACCCAUUCAGAUCUGAACCACAACCCACCAGGGAUCUGGGCGACUUCACCUCCUUCAAAAUAAAUACCCUCCACCCUCCAGUGCAGCCAAGCCGCGUCGUCAUCCAGCUUACCCAGGAGGAGGACCAGGCUAUUACUAACCUCCUGAAACUACACCACCAGGAGCCUAUACACAGUGACGAGACCCUUACUGCUCCGCAAACGGACUUCCUUAGUCACGCUGAUCCUAUGGACUCCUCUUCAGCUCUGGAGGUUUACAAGCCCUUCUGUAGCGAUGUGCAACAUCCGAGCGAGGCCAGUUCGCGGGGUCAGGGAAGAUGUUGGUCAGAUACGGAGCUCGAGGCAGCCAACACCCUCUUGAGUGGCUUUAGCCUGAUGGAGGAGGACAGAAUCUGGAGCCAAAACCACAACAAAUCAGACAUACCACUUCCUAAUCCUCUGCCAUACCAGCGGCAAAGAUCUGAGACUCCUCCUGUAGCAAUAACUGCUGGUUGCACUCAAAAGAACAUCGGCUACAUCAGCUUUAGUUGUGUCAGAGAAUGUGGAGAACCAGGCUGGGAGGAUUUCGUGUUUCUGGAGGGGAGGAAUGCUGAUAAUGUUCACGUGCAAGUUUGUCAGGAAUACAUGGCAUCACCUUUACCCCCGAGGCUGUCUUCAUACCGAAAGCCAAAGAGCAGCUCGAGUGUCUCUGGAGAUUUCUCAGAGGUGAAGGAAUGGAUGCUGUCGGACUCUGAGGGAGAUGCUGUGCAUGUACUCCUGAACCUUGGAGACAUGGGAGUGAUGGAUAUUGUCCAGUGAUUGAUCCUUUAAAAACAUACCCAGGGAUUUAAGACAGUGUGUAGACUGUAAAUGUUUGAAUACAGCUCCACUUGAACAUGAAAGGGCCAAUCUAGAGCCAGUGUUUGGUUUGUUCUUGAUUACUGUGGUGGUUCAACAUGGAGGCUUAUUCCAAGGCAUAUAUAUUAAUGUUUCUGCCAAUAGAUCCUCCUAAAUGUUACACACUGGACCUUUACUACCUCUUCCUUAUUAUGGAAACAACUAGUUGAGUUCUUUGCACUGUUUUGAAUUUUGAUCCAAAUAUGGUCCAAAACUUCUUAUUUAUCUAGGUUGAGAAUUUAUUUCCCCACUUGAAAAAAUAAUGAACAGUAUUUUCAUGUUGAAUACUGCACAUUUGCCUCCUAAUUUUCUUACAACCUGCAUCAGUGUUCAAUAAAAAUGGAUCAAAAGUU
This is an RNA transcript of Dicentrarchus labrax (European seabass), 5107 nucleotides long. RefSeq lists it as uncharacterized. NCBI's taxonomy places the organism in Eukaryota, Metazoa, Chordata, Actinopteri, Moronidae. The record is from RefSeq and is a predicted model, not a curated record. The transcript has 20 exons.